RNAcentral lists this ribosomal RNA (492 nucleotides) under uncultured bacterium. Its description in RNAcentral is "partial 16S ribosomal RNA". It matches the Rfam family "Bacterial small subunit ribosomal RNA", at positions 29 to 507 of the family's 1533-position model. The record is from RNAcentral.
AGUGAACGCUGGCGGUAGGCCUAACACAUGCAAGUCGAACGGCAGCACAGUAAGAGCUUGCUCUUACGGGUGGCGAGUGGCGGACGGGUGAGGAAUACAUCGGAAUCUACUUUUUCGUGGGGGCUAACGUAGGGAAACUUACGCUAAUACCGCAUACUACCUACGGGUGAAAGCAGGGGAUCUUCGGACCUUGCGCGAUUGAAUGAGCCGAUGUCGGAUUAGCUAGUUGGCGGGGUAAAGGCCCACCAAGGCGACGAUCCGUAGCUGGUCUGAGAGGAUGAUCAGCCACACUGGAACUGAGACACGGUCCAGACUCCUACGGGAGGCAGCAGUGGGGAAUAUUGGACAAUGGGCGCAAGCCUGAUCCAGCCAUACCGCGUGGGUGAAGAAGGCCUUCGGGUUGUAAAGCCCUUUUGUUGGGAAAGAAAAGCAGCAGGUUAAUACCCCGCUGUUCUGACGGUACCCAAAGAAUAAGCACCGGCUAACUUCGUG